This 447-nucleotide ribosomal RNA is filed under the name uncultured bacterium. RNAcentral's name for it is "bacterial SSU rRNA". It matches the Rfam family "Bacterial small subunit ribosomal RNA", at positions 355 to 825 of the family's 1533-position model. The record is from RNAcentral.
UCGGGAAUUUUGGGCAAUGGGGGAAACCCUGACCCAGCAACGCCGCGUGAAGGAUGAAGUAUUUCGGUAUGUAAACUUCGAAAGAAUAGGAAGAAUAAAUGACGGUACUAUUUAUAAGGUCCGGCUAACUACGUGCCAGCAGCCGCGGUAAUACGUAGGGACCAAGCGUUGUUCGGAUUUACUGGGCGUAAAGGGCGCGUAGGCGGCAAUUCAAGUCAUCUGUGAAAUCUCCGGGCUUAACUCGGAACGGUCAGAUGAUACUGCUUUGCUAGAGUGCAGAAGGGGCAAUCGGAAUUCUUGGUGUAGCGGUGAAAUGCGUAGAUAUCAAGAGGAACACCUGAGGUGAAGACGGGUUGCUGGGCUGACACUGACGCUGAGGCGCGAAAGCCAGGGGAGCAAACAGGAUUAGAUACCCCCGUAGUCCCUGAGCGGGCUGGCAAGGCGCAU